AUCUGAAGAUGCAGGUGCGUGAACCGCGUCACUCCCUUCAUUAGAGACAGCUUGAUCUGAAGACACAGGUGCGUGAACCGCGUCACUCCCUUCAUUAGAGACAGCUUGAUCUGAAGAUGCAGGUGCGUGAACCGCGUCACUCCCUUCAUUAGAGACAGCUUGAUCCCAAGAUACAGGUGUGUUCCCUACAUCUACACUUGUAGCAGCAGCCUUAGGAACAUUUCCCCCCUCUUCUUGGCUACCAGCAUCAACAUCCAUGCUACAAUUGGUAUUGUCCUGGUCAUCUAAUUUGGAUGAAUCAACCUUGUCAAUGGCGCCCUCGUUCAUGGUAACGCUGUCCCCACUAUGAGCAUUAGAAGUAGUCUGUCCAACUGAAGCCCCAUCGUUAUCCACUAGAGUGUCAGGCAAUGKAGGAAUAGGACCUACAAGGUCUCCAUCUACAUCUGCAUUGUCCAUGUCCAUCUGAUCCCCCUUGAUUUCUUUGCUUCCUGCAGCUUCUUCAUCAGUAACCAUAUUCGUCUGUCCUGAUUCCUCUUCAAUGUCAUGAUUCUUCCUCUCAUUUUUCUUCCUCAGCAGCACGUAUUUUGAGCUGCAGUCUUCCUCCUC
RNAcentral lists this long non-coding RNA (606 nucleotides) under Hordeum vulgare. Its description in RNAcentral is "long non-coding RNA (HVUL_LNC013563)". Lineage: Eukaryota; Viridiplantae; Streptophyta; Magnoliopsida; Poales; Poaceae. The record is from RNAcentral.